This is a long non-coding RNA of Daphnia magna, 1332 nucleotides long. RefSeq lists it as uncharacterized. The transcript is spliced from 2 exons. Lineage: Eukaryota; Metazoa; Arthropoda; Branchiopoda; Diplostraca; Daphniidae. The record is from RefSeq and is a predicted model, not a curated record.
UCCCCCCCUCCCUUUCUAGUAUAGUCUCACUAGCCUCGGGCGCUUUUAAAACUUGCCCUACUUUUUCAAGCUCAGUGAGUGACGGCAGUGACGCGUUGUUCACUGUAUACUUGACAUUCUUCCUGAAGCUUGCCUGAAAAAUCCAAUUAUCCAGGUGUGCAGUACACGACAUUGGGACUUCAAAGACAUCAAAAGGUUUUCUUCUAAUUAAAGUGUUAACCUUUUCACGACUUUGCGGGCAAGUUAUUGUUAUUGUUGUAUCUUCAGUAGUUGAAUAACCCCACCUCCUAUGGCCUAGAUAUACAGUUUGUUGGCCAAGCCAAGGUGACACAUGAGUCGUGCACUGGGUGCGACUACGGGCCUCGUCCUUAACAAACAAAGACAUUGCACACCCGGGUUCCCUGUGUUUCCGAUUAAUAGCGCUACUUAUCGGACAAAUUAAAGCCGGUGACAUUAAACAACGAAAUGCAUCGUCUGCUGAUAACUCUACAAAGGCUUGUCUAUCAGUUGCUACGACAAGAAAUGGUGGAAGAGGAUAAAAUUGUGCACCUUGUGUGGCAUUUUCUAUAGGGCGCGGCAAACUGAUUACUUUAUAGAGUGUAAAACGAAAAGGAAACUCAAAAACAGGUAAAUGAAUAAAAAUUCUAAGACCAUUAUUAACCGCAGCCACGACUACUUUAGCUUCAGUGUACACUUUCCAACAUCGCCCUUCUGGAUGGAUGGACUCAAGGACCAUCCUGACGGCAGCACAGAUUUAAUUUCUUUCAGGGCGGCUUGAACUUGCAGCGGGAGAAAAAGGGUAGCUGGUAGACGUUCCAUAGCCAUAACAGCCAAUCCAACGGCAAAGUUAUCCAACACCUCUUCGAUCCAUCCCACGGCGGACCCAAUUUGACGGAACGCAUCUCCAACUUUCGUGGCCUCUCGUUCAAUUUUUGCAAAAGCAAUCUGUAGCUCGGCUACGGCGUCGCCACUUGCCUUAGUCUCCCACAGCGUCUCGUUAAUGAGAGAAGCAUGAACUUCCAGGGCAUGCACAAUGGAUGUUGUCUCCGUCGAAAGCUUAUUGAUCCGGCCGUUCACGUGUUCGAGAUCUUCUUGGGUAGAGACCCCAAAAAGCCAGUUAAGAAGUCGACCUCCUCCAUCCACUAGGCCACGUUUCACUCUGGAGUCUUGCACACCGACGGCUGUUUUUAGUUCAUUCCAGCGCUGAUGAACCUUCCGCAAUUUCAACAAUUCUUCUUGUGCCCGUUCUUUCACAUGUUGUUGCAAUGCCUGUUUAAACUGUGAUUUAACUCCGGCGUAGUGAUCGGACAUGGUAUUCACUCGAAUGUCUAA